This 497-nucleotide ribosomal RNA is filed under the name uncultured bacterium. RNAcentral's name for it is "partial 16S ribosomal RNA". It matches the Rfam family "Bacterial small subunit ribosomal RNA", at positions 28 to 507 of the family's 1533-position model. The record is from RNAcentral.
GAUGAACGCUGGCGGCGUGCCUAAUACAUGCAAGUCGAGCGAACGGACGAGAAGCUUGCUUCUCUGAUGUUAGCGGCGGACGGGUGAGUAACACGUGGAUAACCUACCUAUAAGACUGGGAUAACUUCGGGAAACCGGAGCUAAUACCGGAUAAUAUUUUGAACCGCAUGGUUCAAAAGUGAAAGACGGUCUUGCUGUCACUUAUAGAUGGAUCCGCGCUGCAUUAGCUAGUUGGUAAGGUAACGGCUUACCAAGGCAACGAUGCAUAGCCGACCUGAGAGGGUGAUCGGCCACACUGGAACUGAGACACGGUCCAGACUCCUACGGGAGGCAGCAGUAGGGAAUCUUCCGCAAUGGGCGAAAGCCUGACGGAGCAACGCCGCGUGAAUGAUGAAGGUCUUCGAAUCGUAAAACUCUGUUAUUAGGGAAGAACAUAUGUGUAAGUAACUGUGCACAUAUUGACGGUACCUAAUCAGAAAGCCACGGCUAACUACGUG